AGAAGUAAUCAUCCAUUCAUCUUCAUACACAAAGCAGUAGCAUAUCCUUAAGUAAUCUAUCAUCAUAAUGGCCGCUGCUAAAACUUCAAUGGUGCUCUUUCUAGUCGCCUUAAUGGCUAUUUCUGCAAACCUGCAGAUGGGAUCAGCCGUUGGAGUUGAUUGCUCUACUGGCUUGGCGUUGGAACUUAAUCUAUUCAGCGGCCAAUGCACUUCAGACAUUUACUGCAAAAGUUAUUGUAACAACUCGUGCGAUCUAGAGUUUAAGACUACUGCCGUAUUAUCAGUUUGCGCACUUCAUCCUCUCCUAGGAGCGAUAGUUAAGGUCUGCACCUGUUGUUGUGCCUCACUCUAGAGUAUUCGCUACUCUAUGAGUUAGCAGCUAGUUUAUGACCUCGGCCUAGUUAUUAAGCUAGCUACAGGGGCUUACAAAACUAUUCCAUUCCCAUUUUGAGAUUUUAAAAAUAAAAGCAGCAUUUCAAUUUAGUAAAACAAAUCAAUCUUAUAUAAGUGUGUGUCGCUAUACUUAUAUAGCUAUAUACACUUAAUUAGCUGCUAGCUAGUUAGAGUCUCUCGUGUCCGGUUGUGUUCGUCGUGCAGUAUUGAUAUGCAUCAUGUAAUGAUUCUUCAUCUUAUGUACUUCGGUGGCUCGAUAAUCGCUGAUCUGUAUUAUGUAUGGUUUUUUGUGAUUCUAUAUAAUACUCUGUUUGGUA
Papaver somniferum (opium poppy) is the source of this 710-nucleotide long non-coding RNA. RefSeq lists it as uncharacterized. The record is from RefSeq and is a predicted model, not a curated record. The transcript has 2 exons. NCBI's taxonomy places the organism in Eukaryota, Viridiplantae, Streptophyta, Magnoliopsida, Ranunculales, Papaveraceae.